GUCCACGCCCUAAACGAUGGAUACUAGGUGUGGGAGGUAUUGACCCCUUCCGUGCCGAAGCCAACGCGUUAAGUAUCCCGCCUGGGGACUACGGCCGCAAGGUUAAAACUCAAAGGAAUUGACGGGGGCCCGCACAAGCAGCGGAGCGUGUGGUUCAAUUCGAUGCAACACGAAGAACCUUACCCAGGCUUGACAUGCAAGUGGUAGCGAAGCGAAAGCGGAGCGACCCGCAAGGGAGCUUGCACAGGUGUUGCAUGGCUGUCGU
Molecule: ribosomal RNA, 265 nt
Filed under: uncultured bacterium
Lineage: Bacteria
Description: partial 16S ribosomal RNA
Rfam family: Bacterial small subunit ribosomal RNA
Source: RNAcentral